This 696-nucleotide ribosomal RNA is filed under the name uncultured beta proteobacterium. Its description in RNAcentral is "bacterial SSU rRNA". It matches the Rfam family "Bacterial small subunit ribosomal RNA", at positions 54 to 744 of the family's 1533-position model. The record is from RNAcentral. Lineage: Bacteria; Pseudomonadati; Pseudomonadota; Betaproteobacteria.
CAUGCAAGUCGAGCGGCAGCGCGGGGGCAACCCUGGCGGCGAGCGGCGAACGGGUGAGUAAUGCAUCGGAACGUGUCCAGAAGUGGGGGAUAACCCGGCGAAAGCCGGGCUAAUACCGCAUAUUCUCCACGGAGGAAAGCGGGGGAUCGCAAGACCUCGCGCUUUUGGAGCGGCCGAUGCCCGAUUAGCUUGUUGGUGGGGUAAUGGCCUACCAAGGCGACGAUCGGUAGCUGGUCUGAGAGGAUGAUCAGCCACACUGGGACUGAGACACGGCCCAGACUCCUACGGGAGGCAGCAGUGGGGAAUUUUGGACAAUGGGGGAAACCCUGAUCCAGCCAUGCCGCGUGCGGGAAGAAGGCCUUCGGGUUGUAAACCGCUUUUAGCUGGGAAGAAAAGAUCACGGAUAACACCCGUGGUUCUUGACGGUACCGGCGGAAUAAGCACCGGCUAACUACGUGCCAGCAGCCGCGGUAAUACGUAGGGUGCGAGCGUUAAUCGGAAUUACUGGGCGUAAAGCGUGCGUAGGCGGUUCGUUGUGUCUGUGGUGAAAGCCCCGGGCUUAACCUGGGAAUUGCCAUGGAAACUGGCGAGCUUGAGUGUGGCAGAGGGGGGGUGGAAUUCCGCGUGUAGCAGUGAAAUGCGUAGAGAUGCGGAGGAACACCGAUGGCGAAGGCAGCCCCCUGGGCUAGCACUGAC